This 610-nucleotide ribosomal RNA is filed under the name uncultured bacterium. RNAcentral's name for it is "bacterial SSU rRNA". The stretch from base 1 to 525 matches the Rfam family "Bacterial small subunit ribosomal RNA", at positions 338 to 873 of the family's 1533-position model. The record is from RNAcentral.
CCUACGGGAGGCAGCAGUGGGGAAUAUUGCACAAUGGGCGCAAGCCUGAUGCAGCAACGCCGCGUGAGGGACGACGGCCUUCGGGUUGUAAACCUCUUUUAGUAGGGAAGAAGCGAAAGUGACGGUACCUGCAGAAAAAGCACCGGCUAACUACGUGCCAGCAGCCGCGGUAAUACGUAGGGUGCAAGCGUUAUCCGGAAUUAUUGGGCGUAAAGAGCUCGUAGGCGGUUUGUCGCGUCUGCUGUGAAAACUGGAGGCUCAACCUCCAGCCUGCAGUGGGUACGGGCAGACUAGAGUGCGGUAGGGGAGAUUGGAAUUCCUGGUGUAGCGGUGGAAUGCGCAGAUAUCAGGAGGAACACCGAUGGCGAAGGCAGAUCUCUGGGCCGUAACUGACGCUGAGGAGCGAAAGCAUGGGGAGCGAACAGGAUUAGAUACCCUGGUAGUCCAUGCCGUAAACGUUGGGAACUAGAUGUAGGGACCAUUCCCAGGGUUUCUGUGUCGCNGCUACGACAUACGUUACCCGUCCGUCGGAGGUACGGACCGCGACGACGUAACGUACGAAGAAGUAGACGGCGUGAGACGUCGCGACGGACGACGACGAGGGAGGAGG